AGGGGUAUAGCUCAACUGGUAGAGUAGUGGUCUCCAAAACCAUUGGUUGAGGGUUCGAUUCCUUCUGCCCCUGCCA
This 76-nucleotide transfer RNA is filed under the name Megasphaera elsdenii. RNAcentral's name for it is "tRNA-Trp(cca)". It matches the Rfam family "tRNA". Rfam says of the family: Transfer RNA (tRNA) molecules are approximately 80 nucleotides in length. Their secondary structure includes four short double-helical elements and three loops (D, anti-codon, and T loops). RNAcentral also lists the same sequence under 23 other names. Lineage: Bacteria; Bacillati; Bacillota; Negativicutes; Veillonellales; Veillonellaceae. The record is from RNAcentral.